This 112-nucleotide ribosomal RNA is filed under the name Geotrichum candidum. RNAcentral's name for it is "partial 28S ribosomal RNA". It matches the Rfam family "Eukaryotic large subunit ribosomal RNA", at positions 24 to 135 of the family's 3401-position model. Lineage: Eukaryota; Fungi; Ascomycota; Dipodascomycetes; Dipodascales; Dipodascaceae. The record is from RNAcentral.
CCCGCUGAACUUAAGCAUAUCAAUAAGCGGAGGAAAAGAAACCAACAGGGAUUGCCUUAGUAACGGCGAGUGAAGCGGCAAAAGCUCAAAUUUGAAAUCGGCCCCCAGGUCG